AUCUGCCCUUUGGCCUGGAAUAACACGAGGAAACUUGCUGCUAAUACCGGAUAAGUCUUUACGGAGAAAGCUUUAUGCACCAUUGGAUGAGCCUGCACUUGAUUAGUUUGUUGGUGGGGUAAUGGCCUACCAAGACUGUGAUCAAUAGCUGAUUUGAGAGGAUGAUCAGCCACAUUGGGACUGAGACACGGCCCAAACUCCUACGGGAGGCAGCAGUGGGGAAUCUUGCACAAUGGAGGAAACUCUGAUGCAGCGAUGCCGCGUGAGUGAAGAAGGCCCUUGGGUUGUAAAGCUCUUUCGUCGGGGAAGAAAAUGACUGUACCCGAAUAAGAAGGUCCGGCUAACUUCGUGCCAGCAGCCGCGGUAAUACGAAGGGACCUAGCGUAGUUCGGAAUUACUGGGCUUAAAGAGUUCGUAGGUGGUUGAAAAAGUUGGUGGUGAAAUCCCAGAGCUUAACUCUGAAACUGCCAUCAAAACUUUUCAGCUAGAGUAUGAUAGAGGAAAGCAGAAUUUCUAGUGUAGAGGUGAAAUUCGUAGAUAUUAGAAAGAAUACCAAUUGCGAAGGCAGCUUUCUGGAUCAUUACUGACACUGAGGAACGAAAGCAUGGGUAGCGAAGAGGAUUAGAUACCCUCGUAGUCCAUGCCGUAAACGAUGUGUGUUAGACGUUGGAAAUUUAUUUUCAGUGUCGC
Molecule: ribosomal RNA, 690 nt
Filed under: uncultured bacterium
Lineage: Bacteria
Description: bacterial SSU rRNA
Rfam family: Bacterial small subunit ribosomal RNA
Source: RNAcentral